Molecule: ribosomal RNA, 464 nt
Filed under: uncultured bacterium
Lineage: Bacteria
Description: bacterial SSU rRNA
Rfam family: Bacterial small subunit ribosomal RNA
Source: RNAcentral
CCUACGGGUUGCACCAGUAGGAAUCUUCCACAAUGGGCGCAAACCUGAUGGAGCAACGCCGCGUGUGUGAUGAAGGGUUUCGGCUCGUAAAACACUGUUAUAAGAGAAGAACGGCACUGAGAGUAACUGUUCAGUGUGUGACGGUAUCUUACCAGAAAGGAGCGGCUAAAUACGAGCCAGCAGCCGCGGUAAUACGUAUGUUCCAAGCGUUAUCCGGAUUUAUUGGGCGUAAAGCGAGCGCAGACGGUUAUUUAAGUCUGAAGUGAAAGCCCUCAGCCCAACUGAGGAAUGGCUUUGGAAACUGGAUGACUUGAGUGCAGUAGUGGAAAGUGGAACUCCAUGUGUAGCGGUGAAAUGCGUAGAUAUAUGGAAGAACACCAGUGGCGAAGGCGGCUUUCUGGACUGUAACUGACGUUGAGGCUCGAAAGUGUGGGUAGCAAACAGGAUUAGAUACCCUUGUAGUC